ACAAGCGGUGAGUGCUUUGGGGUGGGGUGACUGCGUACCUUUUGUAUAAUGGGUCAGCGACUUAUAUUCUGUAGCAAGGUUAACCGAAUAGGGGAGCCGGAGGGAAACCGAGUCUUAAUUGGGCGUUAAGUUGCAGGGUAUAGACCCGAAACCCGGUGAUCUAGCCAUGGGCAGGUUGAAGGUUGGGUAACACUAACUGGAGGACCGAACCGACUAAUGUUGAAAAAUUAGCGGAUGACCUGUGGCUGGGGGUGAAAGGCCAAUCAAACCGGGAGAUAGCUGGUUCUCCCCGAAAGCUAUUUAGGUAGCGCCUCGUGAAUUCAUCUCCGGGGGUAGAGCACUGUUUCGGCUAGGGGGCCAUCCCGGCUUACCAACCCGAUGCAAACUGCGAAUACCGGAGAAUGUUAUCACGGGAGACACACGGCGGGUGCUAACGUCCGUCGUGAAGAGGGAAACAACCCAGACCGCCAGCUAAGGUCCCAAAGUCAUGGUUAAGUGGGAAACGAUGUGGGAAGGCCCAGACAGCCAGGAUGUUGGCUUAGAAGCAGCCAUCAUUUAAAGAAAGCGUAAUAGCUCACUGGUCGAGUCGGCCUGCGCGGAAGAUGUAACGGGGCUAAACCAUGCACCGAAGCUGCGGCAGCGAACGUAUCACUUAAAGCGAUUCAGCGGGUUACGAUUGACGGAGCGAAGCGACGUCAAAGCGUAUACAAAGUCGAGUCGGUUUAAGGAUACGUUCGUUGGGUAGGGGAGCGUUCUGUAAGCCUGUGAAGGUGUGUCGUGAGGCAUGCUGGAGGUAUCAGAAGUGCGAAUGCUGACAUAAGUAACGAUAAAGCGGGUGAAAAGCCCGCUCGCCGGAAGACCAAGGGUUCCUGUCCAACGUUAAUCGGGGCAGGGUGAGUCGACCCCUAAGGCGAGGCCGAAAGGCGUAGUCGAUGGGAAACGGGUUAAUAUUCCCGUACUUGGUGUUACUGCGAAGGGGGGACGGAGAAGGCUAUGUUGGCCGGGCGACGGUUGUCCCGGUUUAAG
RNAcentral lists this ribosomal RNA (1026 nucleotides) under Salmonella enterica subsp. enterica serovar Infantis. RNAcentral describes it as "partial 23S ribosomal RNA". It matches the Rfam family "Bacterial large subunit ribosomal RNA", at positions 566 to 1516 of the family's 2925-position model. The record is from RNAcentral. Lineage: Bacteria; Pseudomonadati; Pseudomonadota; Gammaproteobacteria; Enterobacterales; Enterobacteriaceae.